Molecule: ribosomal RNA, 431 nt
Filed under: uncultured bacterium
Lineage: Bacteria
Description: partial 16S ribosomal RNA
Rfam family: Bacterial small subunit ribosomal RNA
Source: RNAcentral
CCUACGGGAGGCAGCAGUGGGGAAUAUUGGACAAUGGGGGAAACCCUGAUCCAGCCAUGCCGCGUGGAUGAUGAAGGCCCUAGGGUUGUAAAGUCCUUUCGACGGGGAAGCGGUACCCGUAGAAGAAGCCCCGGCUAACUUCGUGCCAGCAGCCGCGGUAAUACGAAGGGGGCUAGCGUUGCUCGGAAUCACUGGGCGUAAAGCGCACGUAGGCGGACUCGUAAGUCGGGGGUGAAAUCCUGGAGCUUAACUCCAGAACUGCCUUCGAUACUGCGAGUCUUGAGUUCGGGAGAGGUGAGUGGAACUGCGAGUGUAGAGGUGAAAUUCGUAGAUAUUCGCAAGAACACCAGUGGCGAAGGCGGCUCACUGGCCCGUCUGACGCUGAGGUGCGAAAGCGUGGGGAGCAAACAGGAUUAGAUACCCUUGUAGUC